RNAcentral lists this long non-coding RNA (1932 nucleotides) under Oncorhynchus kisutch (coho salmon). RNAcentral describes it as "lncRNA (ENSOKIG00005000194.1)". The record is from RNAcentral. Lineage: Eukaryota; Metazoa; Chordata; Actinopteri; Salmoniformes; Salmonidae.
AUGAUUACACCAUGGCAAUACCAUCUCUCUCCUCCCAUCUCUAUCUUCCAUCUCUCUCCUCCAUCUGUCUCCUUCAGCUCUCUCCAGCAAUCUCUCUUGCAUCUAUCUCCUGCCAUCUCUCUCCUGCCAUCUAUCUCCUGCCAUCUCUCUCCUGCAAUCUAUCUCCUUCCAGCUCUCUUCUGCCAUCUCGCUCCUGCUUUCUAUCUCCUGCCAGCACUCUUCUGCCAUCUCUCUCCUCCAUCUCUCUCCUCCCAUCUCUCUCCUCCAUCUCUAUCCUCCUCCAUCUCUCUCCUCCACUCUCUCCCCCAUCUCUCUGCUGCAUCUCUCUCCUCCCAUCUCUCUCCUUCCAUCUCUCUCUUGCCAUCUCUCUCCUCCUAUCUCUUCCAUCUCUCUCCUUCAUCUCUCUCCUUCCAUCUCUCUCUUGCCAGCUCUCUCCUUCAGCUCUCUCCUCCAUCUCUCUUCUGCCAUCUCUCCCCUCCAUCUCUCUCCUGCCUACUCUCUCUUCCAUCUCUCUCCUGCCACCUUUCUCCUUUAUCUCUCUGCUGCAUCUCUCUCCUCCAUCUCUCUCCUCCAUCUCUCUCCUGUAGCUCUCUGCUGCCAUCUCUCUCCUUUAUGUCUCUCCUGCCAUCUCUCUCCUUUAUCUCUCUUCUCCAUCUCUCUCCUUCUCUCUCCUCCCAUAUCUCUCCUCCAUCUCUCUCCUCCCAUCUCUCUCCUCCCAUCUCUCUCCUCCCAUCUCUCUGCUCCCAUCUCUCCUCCCAUCUCUCUGCUACUAUAUCUCUGCUACCAUCUCUCUACUACCAUUACUCUCCUCCCAUCUCUCUGCUACCAUCUCUCUCCUCCCAUCUCUCUGCUACCAUCUCUCUCCUCCCAUCUCUCUGCUACCAUCUCUCCUCCCAUCUCUCUGCUGCCAUCUCUCUCCUCCCAUCUCUCCUCCCACCUCUCUGCUACAAUCUCUCUCUUGCCAGCUUUCUCCUUCAGCUCUCUCCUCCAUCUCUCUCCUGCCAGCUCCCUCCUCCCAUCACUCUCCUCCAUCUCUCUCCUGCAUCUCUCUCCUGCCAUCUCUCUCCUUCAGCUCUCCCCUGCUAUCUCUCUCCUACCAUCUCUCUCCUCCCAUUUCUCCUCCCAACUCUCUGCUACCAGCUCUCUCCUGCCAUCACUCACCUCCUCCUCCUCUCUCCUCAACCUCUCUCCUCCCAUCUCUCCUGCCAUCUCUCUCCUCCCAUCUCUCUCCUGCCAUCUCUCUCCUUCCAUCUCUCUCUUCCAACUAUCUCCUUCAGCUCUCUCCUCCCAUCUCUCUCCUCCAUCUCUCUCCUCCCAUCUCUCUCCUCCAUCUCUCUCCUCCAUCUCUCUCCUCCAUCUCUCUCCUCCCAUCUCUCUCCUCCAUCUCUCUCCUCCCAUUUCUCCUCCCAACUCUCUGCUACCAGCUCUCUCCUGCCAUCACUCACCUCCUCCUCCUCUCUCCUCAACCUCUCUCCUCCCAUCUCUCCUGCCAUCUCUCUCCUCCCAUCUCUCUCCUGCCAUCUCUCUCCUUCCAUCUCUCUCUUCCAACUAUCUCCUUCAGCUCUCUCCUCCUCUCUCCUCCAUUUCUCUCCUUCAUGUCUCUCCUGCCAGCUCCCUCCUCCCAUCUCUCUUCUCCAUCUCUCUCCUCCAUCUCUCUCCUCCCAUCUCUCUCCUCCCAUCUCUCUCCUUCAGCUCUCUCCUCCUCUCUCCUCCCAUCUCUCUCCUUCAUGUCUCUCCUGCCAGCUCCCUCCUCCCAUCUCUCUCCUCCAUCUCUCUCCUCCAUCUCUCUCCUCCCAUCUCUCUCCUCCCAUUUCUCUCCAGCAGCUCUCUCCUCCUUUCAGCUGCACUGUGACAUAUCAGCUGCAGGCUAUCAAGGCACAUGUUUGUGAACUAAAAAUAAUGUUUCUCUCCGUUGAUCUUCAAGGCAGGUAG